Molecule: ribosomal RNA, 485 nt
Filed under: uncultured bacterium
Lineage: Bacteria
Description: bacterial SSU rRNA
Rfam family: Bacterial small subunit ribosomal RNA
Source: RNAcentral
GAUCAUGGCUCAGGAUAAACGCUGGCGGCACACAUAAGACAUGCAAGUCGAACGGACUAAUUUGAAAUGUUACAUUUUUUAAUUGUUAGUGGCGGACUGGUGAGUAACACGUAAGCAACCUGCCUAUUAGAGGGGAAUAACAAUGAGAAAUCAUUGCUAAUACCGCAUAUGCCAUAAUUAUCACAUGAUAGUAGUGGGAAAGAAGUAAUUCGCUAAUAGAUGGGCUUGCGUCUGAUUAGUUAGUUGGUGGGGUAAUGGCCUACCAAGACUACGAUCAGUAGCCGGACUGAGAGGUUCAACGGCCACAUUGGGACUGAGAUACGGCCCAGACUCCUACGGGAGGCAGCAGUCGGGAAUUUUGCGCAAUGGAGGAAACUCUGACGCAGUGAUGCCGCGUAUAGGAAGAAGGUUUUCGGAUUGUAAACUAUUGUCUGCAGGGAAGAUACAAGACUGUACCUGCAAAGAAAGCUCCGGCUAACUACGUG